This 492-nucleotide ribosomal RNA is filed under the name uncultured bacterium. Its description in RNAcentral is "partial 16S ribosomal RNA". It matches the Rfam family "Bacterial small subunit ribosomal RNA", at positions 29 to 507 of the family's 1533-position model. The record is from RNAcentral.
AGUGAACGCUGGCGGUAGGCCUAACACAUGCAAGUCGAACGGCAGCACAGUAAGAGCUUGCUCUUACGGGUGGCGAGUGGCGGACGGGUGAGGAAUACAUCGGACUCUACUUUUUCGUGGGGGAUAACGUAGGGAAACUUACGCUAAUACCGCAUACGACCUACGGGUGAAAGCAGGGGAUCUUCGGACCUUGCGCGAUUGAAUGAGCCGAUGUCGGAUUAGCUAGUUGGCGGGGUAAAGGCCCACCAAGGCGACGAUCCGUAGCUGGUCUGAGAGGAUGAUCAGCCACACUGGAACUGAGACACGGUCCAGACUCCUACGGGAGGCAGCAGUGGGGAAUAGUGGACAAUGGGCGCAAGUCUGAUCCAGCCAUACCGCGUGGGUGAAGAAGGCCUUCGGGUUGUAAAGACCUUUUGUUGGGAAAGAAAAGCAGCAGGUUAAUACCCCGCUGUUCUGACGGUACCCAAAGAAUAAGCACCGGCUAACUUCGUG